GUCUACAGCCAUAACACCCUAAGUGUGUCCAAUCUUGUCUGAUCUCAGAAGCUAAGCAGGUCCUGCCUGGUUAGUACUUAGAUGGGAAACUCUAUUCCUGGCAAAGCAAAUGUAGCCU
This 118-nucleotide ribosomal RNA is filed under the name Microcebus murinus (gray mouse lemur). The record is from RNAcentral. Lineage: Eukaryota; Metazoa; Chordata; Mammalia; Primates; Cheirogaleidae.